Molecule: small nucleolar RNA, 91 nt
Organism: Cynocephalus volans (Philippine flying lemur)
Lineage: Eukaryota; Metazoa; Chordata; Mammalia; Dermoptera; Cynocephalidae
Product: small nucleolar RNA SNORA64/SNORA10 family
Exons: 1
Source: RefSeq, a predicted model, not a curated record
GCUCCCCCAUGGUAAUGAGGAGAGAGAGAAGAUCUCAGGACCUCAGAUUGGCCUCACAGUGGCCUUUCUUUCCUUGAGGGGUGCAACAAGC